RNAcentral lists this ribosomal RNA (429 nucleotides) under Actinomycetes bacterium. RNAcentral's name for it is "Actinobacteria bacterium partial 16S ribosomal RNA". It matches the Rfam family "Bacterial small subunit ribosomal RNA", at positions 355 to 776 of the family's 1533-position model. Lineage: Bacteria; Bacillati; Actinomycetota; Actinomycetes. The record is from RNAcentral.
UAGGGAAUCUUCCGCAAUGGGCGAAAGCCUGACGGAGCAACGCCGCGUGAGUGAUGAAGGUCUUCGGAUCGUAAAACUCUGUUAUUAGGGAAGAACAAAUGUGUAAGUAACUAUGCACGUCUUGACGGUACCUAAUCAGAAAGCCACGGCUAACUACGUGCCAGCAGCCGCGGUAAUACGUAGGUGGCAAGCGUUAUCCGGAGUUAUUGGGCGUAAAGCGCGCGUAGGCGGUUUUUUAAGUCUGAUGUGAAAGCCCACGGCUCAACCGUAGAGGGUCAUUGGAAACUGGAAAACUUGAGUGCAGAAGAGGAAAGUAGAAUUCCAUGUGUAGCGGUGAAAUUCGCAGAGAUAUGGAGGAACACCAGUGGCGAAGGCGACUUUCUGGUCUGUAACUGACGCUGAUGUGCGAAAGCGUGGGGAUCAAACAGG